CGAGUGGCGGACGGGUGAGUAAUGUCUGGGAAACUGCCUGAUGGAGGGGGAGUAACUACUGGAAACGGUAGCUAAUACCGCAUAACGUCGCAAGACCAAAGAGGGGGGACCUUCGGGCCUCUUGCCAUCGGAUGUGCCCAGAUGGGAUUAGCUAGUAGGUGGGGUAACGGCUCACCUAGGCGACGAUCCCUAGCUGGUCUGAGAGGAUGACCAGCCACACUGGAACUGAGACACGGUCCAGACUCCUACGGGAGGCAGCAUG
This 262-nucleotide ribosomal RNA is filed under the name uncultured bacterium. RNAcentral describes it as "partial 16S ribosomal RNA". It matches the Rfam family "Bacterial small subunit ribosomal RNA", at positions 92 to 353 of the family's 1533-position model. The record is from RNAcentral.